Molecule: small RNA, 28 nt
Filed under: Bombyx mori (domestic silkworm)
Lineage: Eukaryota; Metazoa; Arthropoda; Insecta; Lepidoptera; Bombycidae
Description: ovarian small RNA-24595
Source: RNAcentral
UCAACAUGUUGAGAUACGAUUAAACCUU